AAUCAACGCUGGCGGCGUGCCUAACACAUGCAAGUCGAACGAGAAAAUGGAGCAAUCCAUGAGUAAAGUGGCGCACGGGUGAGUAACACGUGGAUGAUCUACCUUCUAGUGGGGAAUAACCCUGGGAAACCGGGGCUAAUACCGCAUAAGUCCGAGAGGAGAAAGCCGAAAGGCGCUGGAAGAGGAGUCCGCGGUCGAUUAGCUAGUUGGCGGGGUAAAAGCCCACCAAGGCUGCGAUCGAUAGCCGGCCUGAGAGGGCACACGGCCACACUGGCAC
This 277-nucleotide ribosomal RNA is filed under the name uncultured bacterium. RNAcentral describes it as "partial 16S ribosomal RNA". It matches the Rfam family "Bacterial small subunit ribosomal RNA", at positions 32 to 319 of the family's 1533-position model. The record is from RNAcentral.